Molecule: ribosomal RNA, 313 nt
Filed under: uncultured bacterium
Lineage: Bacteria
Description: bacterial SSU rRNA
Rfam family: Bacterial small subunit ribosomal RNA
Source: RNAcentral
GAUGAACGCUACGCGGACGAGGCUUAACACAUGCAAGUCGAGGGCAGCGAGGAUCUAGCAAUAGAUUGCUGGCGACCGGCGCACGGGUGAGUAACACGUAUCCAACCUGCCGAUAACUCGGGGAUAGCCUUUCGAAAGAAAGAUUAAUACCCGAUGGUAUAAUCAGACCGCAUGGUCUUGUUAUUAAAGAAUUUCGGUUAUCGAUGGGGAUGCGUUCCAUUAGGCAGUUGGUGAGGUAACGGCUCACCAAACCUUCGAUGGAUAGGGGUUCUGAGAGGAAGGUCCCCCACAUUGGAACUGAGACACGGUCCAA